UACGAAGGGGGCUAGCGUUGCUCGGAAUUACUGGGCGUAAAGCGCACGUAGGCGGCUUCUUAAGUCGGUGGUGAAAUCCUGGAGCUCAACUCCAGAACUGCCUUCGAUACUGGGAAGCUCGAGUCCGGGAGAGGUGAGUGGAACUGCGAGUGUAGAGGUGAAAUUCGUAGAUAUCGGGAGGAACACCAGUGGCGAAGGCGGCGACCUGGACGGACACUGACGCUGAGACGCGAAAGCGUGGGGAGCAAACAGG
This 253-nucleotide ribosomal RNA is filed under the name uncultured bacterium. RNAcentral's name for it is "partial 16S ribosomal RNA". It matches the Rfam family "Bacterial small subunit ribosomal RNA", at positions 524 to 776 of the family's 1533-position model. The record is from RNAcentral.